Non-coding RNA from Ricinus communis (castor bean), 123 nucleotides. Lineage: Eukaryota; Viridiplantae; Streptophyta; Magnoliopsida; Malpighiales; Euphorbiaceae. The record is from Rfam.
GGGCUGUGAUGACUGAUUUCAUUUCUCGAUACUGAUAUUAAAUGUGUUUGGCUUUCUAUAUGGACCUGUAUAAAAGCUUUGUAUUGUCUGUUUGAUGACUGCGUUUGUGCGUGUCUGAGCCUG